Oncorhynchus tshawytscha (Chinook salmon) is the source of this 2920-nucleotide long non-coding RNA. The record is from Ensembl. Lineage: Eukaryota; Metazoa; Chordata; Actinopteri; Salmoniformes; Salmonidae.
UUUUUUUUAUAUUUGUAAUUUUCCAUAUCACCCUUCCAAGAAUGGAAGAGGUGUAAAUUUGAUCUCUUAAUAUAAUGAAUGCAUAUAAUUAAAUAAUUGAGGCCAAUCAAAGUAAACCUUUGAAUGGUUUCUUUCCAGACAGAGAGAGAGAGAGACAUCUGAUAUUCUGAAGCCCCAGACCAAAGUCAAAAAACAAACCUCUAUUCAACAAUGUCUGAUGUCAGCUAAUGUUACUAUUUUGCCAUAUCCUCCUUGAGCUGACACCUCACAAGUUUAGACAGAAAUGGCAGAACAAAAACUAAACCAAAAAACAAAUGGCAUCUUUUUAAAUGUUGAUUCAAUGAUAAUUUAAUGUAAUCUAAAAUGUCCCCUGUAGUUUUCUCCAUAAUUUCUGUCAAGCACUUUGACCAGUUGGAUAGCUCAGCGCCUAGUUGCUAGUCUGUCAACAAUACAUCUAAAUGGUACUGCGAUGUCAACUGCAGCUCUCAGCUGUGGGGAGAUCAGCAGAACAUCACUAUGUGACAACAUUUCCCACAUUGACUCUGCGCGGGCACGUGUGUGUGUGUGUGUGUGUGUGUGUGUGUGUGUGUGUGUGUGUGUGUGUGUGUGUGUGUGUGUGUGUGUGUGUGUGUGUGUGUGAGUGUGUGUGUGUGUGUGUGUGUGUGUGUGUGUGUGUGUGUGUGUGUGAAUGAAUGAGGAAAACUUAGCCACUCAAUCUCCUCUUCUUUCCACCUAGUUCUGUGUCAAACCUUGAACUGUCUGAAACAGUGUAUUUAUAAUCUUUCAUCUGUAAAUAGAAUAAUAUUUAUAAAAUGUACAUUUGGUAUCAUUUAUAUGCACUACCAUUACUUGUCAAAACAAGUCAAACAUUUGUUCAACUGUAUAAUCCUCAAGAUUUACACGGAACAUUCUUAAACAGCCUUUCAGAUUCACAAUUCACAAUGGUGACAUUGUGAAUUGUUAAACUGAUUGCCAAGAAAUGUCAAUUGCCAACUUGAAUUUCUCAAUAAAUUGUUUUGAGGAAAUACUCUCAAACUAAACAAUUCCAGGAUUUUAAAUUCAAAUGGUUGGUUAGGAUCUGGAAAUCCCCAAUUCUAUAGUAGUCUAUAGUAAUGUACAGUAGUCUACAGUAGUCUAUAGUAAUGUACAGUAGUCUAUAGUAGUCUACAGUAGUCUAUAGUAAUGUACAGUAGUCUAUAGUAGUCUAUAGUAAUGUACAGUAGUCUACAGUAGUCUAUAGUAAUGUACAGUAGUCUAUAGUAGUCUACAGUAGUCUAUAGUAAUGUACAGUAGUCUACAGUAGUCUAUAGUAAUGUACAGUAGUCUACAGUAGUCUACAGUAGUCUAUAGUAAUGUACAGUAGUCUAUAGUAGUCUACAGUAGUCUAUAGUAAUGUACAGUAGUCUAUAGUAAUGUACAGUAGUCUACAGUAGUCUAUAGUAAUGUACAGUAGUCUACAGUAGCCUAUAGUAAUGUAUAGUAGUCUACAGUAGUCUAUAGUAAUGUACAGUAGUCUACAAUAGUCUAUAGUAGUGUACAGUAGUCUAUAGUAGUGUACAGUAGUCUAUAGUAGUCUAUGGUAGUGUACAGUAGUCUAUAGUAGUCUAUGGUAGUGCACAGUAGUCUACAGUAGUCUAUAGUAGUCUACAGUAGUGUGCAGUAGUCUAUAGUAGUAUACAGUAGUCUAUAGUAGUCUACAGUAAGUUACAGUAGUCUAUAGUAGUCUACAGUAAGGUACAGUAGUCUACAGUAGUGUACAGUAGUCUACAGUCAUCUGCAGUGGUCUAAAGUAGUUUUCAGUACUCUACAGUAGUGUACAGUAGUCUAUAGUAGUGUACAGUAGUCUAUAGUAGUGUACAGUAGUCUAUAGUAGUGUCCAGUAGUCUAUAGUAGUCUACAGUAGUCUACAGUAGUCUACAGUAGUCUAUAGUAGUCUACAGUAGUCUAUAGUAGUCUACAGUAGUCUAUAGUAGUCUACAGUAGUCUAUAGUAGUCUACAGUCGUCUAUAGUAGUCUACAGUAGUCUAUAGUAGUGUACAGUAGUCUACAGUCGUCUAUAGUAGUCUACAGUAGUCUAUAGUAGUGUACAGUAGUCUACAGUAGUCUAUAGUAGUGUACAGUAGUCUAUAGUAGUCUACAGUCGUCUAUAGUAGUCUACAGUAGUCUAUAGUAGUGUACAGUAGUCUAUAGUAGUCUACAGUAGUCUAUAGUAGUCUACAGUAGUCUAUAGUAGUGUACAGUAGUCUAUAUAGUCUACAGUCAUCUAUAGUAGUCUACAGUAGUCUAUAGUAGUCUAUAGUAGUCUACAGUUGUCUAUAGUAGUCUAUAGUAGUGUACAGUAGUCUAUAGUAGUCUAUAGUAGUCUACAGUAGUCUAUAGUAGUCUUCAGUAGUCUACAGUCGUCUUCAGUAGUCUACAGUCGUCUAUAGUAGUCUACAGUAGUCUAUAGUAGUCUUCAGUAGUCUACAGUCGUCUUCAGUAGUCUACAGUCGUCUUCAGUAGUCUACAGUCGUCUAUAGUAGUCUACAGUAGUCUAUAGUAGUGUACAGUAGUCUACAGUAGUCAAACACACAACAUCUCUUGGGCGGUGCUUGGCAGAAACGUAAUUCCUUGGUUUCACUUGUUUUCCUGUUGUUAUCUGGAGCCAUAUGAAGGCUGCAUUGUUCCUAUGUUCCUAUAUUAUGUACGGUGACGGGUCAUUGUACAGCUUUAUGUUUAUUGAAAUAUUACAUUGUUUAAGAUGUACUUAUAUUUCCCAUGUAUUUCUCAAAAGUCUCACACAAUGUAUGGUAAGGUAUUGUAUAUUGUGAUCAACAAAUAUUUUGUAUGAAAUGAUUAAAAUGAGCAUGAAUUUGUCUUUUUUUGUGUCUUAACUUUCUGUAAUUGUAGGAUGUAAGUCAACUUUAGUUUUGAAGGAACA